Molecule: long non-coding RNA, 2001 nt
Organism: Ochlerotatus camptorhynchus
Lineage: Eukaryota; Metazoa; Arthropoda; Insecta; Diptera; Culicidae
Exons: 2
Source: RefSeq, a predicted model, not a curated record
UAUGCUAUGAGCUGAAUACAUGAAUCCAGUGCUUCCAAUGUUUCCGAAGUGAUUCAAAACUUUUGUAAAGUUCAGUACUGUUUGAAGUUAUUCUGUUGGCUGCUUUUUUUUCUGACAUGGUCCAGUACUUGCCAAAGUGAUCCUAAUCUUUUCUCAAGUUAUUCAGUACUUUCUGAAGGGAUUCUUAACUUUCCAAAGUGAUUCUAAACUUUCCUAAUGGAAUGUAAUGUCAGUAUAGACAGAUCUCGUUUUUGGAAACGUAACUACAGUGCACUCUCUACGACUCGAGGUACCUAUAGAAUUAUCGAGUUAUAGAAUAACAAUCUCAUACAAAUUCGCUAUCUCAGUAGCCAUGACACUCAUUUUUAUGAUGGUUAUAUAACUGUAUAUCAAGUAACUGGACAUCGAGUUGUGAAGAGUUGGCUGUUCUUCAUCUAUGUUGCCAAAGUCGAGAUCUUUUUCGAUGUGUCACAAUUGAGUAGCUUAGCGAUAAUAAUCAAUACUCCCUGAAGUAAAUCCUGCUGAGAAACUGUUGAAAAAUUCCUGGAAGUGAGGAGGAUCUCUCGGUUUUUGACGAUCAGCAGUUUUUACACAUUGCAGAUGCAUGCUCGUCCAACGCAUCGUUUUUUGCUUCUCUGAUAGGUGAUCUGGCAAUAACGGAGUAGCAACCGCGAGCGGAUUUUUUUUUUUUCUUUAUUUAAGAGGUUUUUAGCCUAAAGGCUGGUUCGCCUCUGAGAACCGCGAGCGGUUAAUCAUUCUCAUGCUCAAUUAUGUCUGUACUAUUUGAAGUGAUUCAGUACUUUCUGAAGUUUUUCUGCAGUAAUUCAGCACUUUUCAAACUGAUUCCGAGAUUUUCUAUCGUUUUUCAGUACUUUCAGAAGAGAUUUUGAACUUUUUUUUAAUGAUUCUGUGAUGCCCAAAGUUAUUCCGAUUUUUCUGAAGUGAAUAAAUAUUUUCUGAAGGGAUUCCAAACUUUUCUGAAGUUAUUACAAAAUGAUCUCAGCUCUUGAAGAAGUGAUUGCAAACUUGAGAGAAUUGAUAAAGUACUUUCCGAAGUUUUGUGAAGAUGUUCAGUUCUUUCCGGAUUUUUUUUUAGUUUUUACGAAAGCGAUUACAAACUUUCUGGCAAGAUUAAGUAUUAUCCAAAGGGAUUCAGAAAUUUUCUUAAGUCACUCAAUACUAUCCGAAGAAUUUCAAAGUUUUUUCUGAAGUGAUUAAUUAUCCAAGUAACAUUGUAAGUUUUAUUGAGGUUUUAAAGCACUCUACAAGUCUAAAUCAUGGUCUACAGUACCCUAAUAAAACCCAAAUUGUUACUUGGGACUUUCAGAAUUGAUUUCAAACUGUUCAAAAGUGAUUCAGUUCUUCCUGAAGCGAUUCAGUACUUUCGGAAGUGAUUACAAACUAUCUGGAAUUAUUCAGUACUUUUCGGAGCGAUUCCAAACAGUUCUGAAGUGAUUCAGUACUUUCUGAAAUCAUUUAGUGCUUUGCGAAGUGAUUAUGAACAUUCUGAAGCGAUUCAGUAUUUCCGACGUGAGACUGAACGUUUCUGAAAUGAUUCUGUGCAUUCCUAGCUAAUUUAAUCAUUUUCGAAGUUAUUCGGUUCUUGCGGAAAUGAUUACAAACUUUCUGGGAUGAUUCAGUACUUUCCAAUGUGAAUCCGAAAUUUUCUGAAGUGAUUCAAUACUAUCCCAAGAGAUUCCGAGCUUAAAGUGGUUCAACACUUUCCGAAGUGAUUCAGUGCUUUCUGAAAUAAUUCAGUACUUUCCGAAGUGAUCAUGAACUUUUCCAAAGUGAUUCCGAACAUUACUGAAGAUAUUCGGUGUUUUCCGAAGUGAUUCCGAACAUUUCUCAAGUGAUUCAAUUAUUUUCAAAGUGAACUUUUCGCAAUGAUUCAGUGCUUUCCAAAGUGAUUUCGAAUAUUUAUUAAGUGUUUUGGGUCUUUUCUGAAGUUAUUCAGUACUUUGUGAAAUGAUUCUCAACAUUUAUGAAGUGAUUCAAGAC